Molecule: non-coding RNA, 435 nt
Organism: Cinara cedri
Lineage: Eukaryota; Metazoa; Arthropoda; Insecta; Hemiptera; Aphididae
Source: the annotation of a GenBank genome assembly
CGUCAAGUUGUAUUUUUGUUCCUGUCCGAAAUCACGAUUGUCAUAAUUAUAAGCCAAGUCGAAACAAUGGAAAAUCACGGACAUGCAAUGCAGUUUUAUCUCGGUUGCAAGAAUACAGAUUAUUAUUAUACUCAUAAUUAUUGCAUUAUUUCGUCACCGAAAAACGAUUUUACCGAGAUUAAAUUGGCGCUACACGUAAUUUGCUGUAUGUGACUUACAAACGCACAGCAUGACAAAUGUACGCUCAGUUGAAAACGUUUUGUGAUUUUCUUUUUUAUAGUAGGCUGACCUAACUCAAAGGUAAGAAGACUAUAUGCAAUAGUGGCGAUCAAAUGAUUAUCUGUUUAAUAUUGAUUCACGACUUACAUUUUUACACGAUGAUAACCUUUCAUUUAGUAAUUAAUUACACUUUGUGUACUUAAAGUGUUAACUUCA